CCUACGGGUGGCAGCAGUGAGGAAUAUUGGUCAAUGGACGCAAGUCUGAACCAGCCAUGCCGCGUGCAGGAAGACGGCUCUAUGAGUUGUAAACUGCUUUUGUACGAGGGUAAACGCAGAUACGCGUACCUGUCUGAAAGUAUCGUACGAAUAAGGAUCGGCUAACUCCGUGCCAGCAGCCGCGGUAAUACGGAGGAUUCAAGCGUUAUCCGGAUUUAUUGGGUUUAAAGGGUGCGUAGGCGGUCGUAUAAGUUAGAGGUGAAAUCCCGAGGCUCAACUUCGGAAUUGCCUCUGAUACUGUGCGGCUAGAGAGUAGUUGCGGUAGGCGGAAUGUAUGGUGUAGCGGUGAAAUGCUUAGAGAUCAUACAGAACACCGAUUACGAAGGCAGCUUUCCAAGCUACGUCUGACGUUGAGGCACGAAAGCGUGGGGAGCAAACAGGAUUAGAUACCCUGGUAGUC
RNAcentral lists this ribosomal RNA (460 nucleotides) under uncultured bacterium. RNAcentral describes it as "partial 16S ribosomal RNA". It matches the Rfam family "Bacterial small subunit ribosomal RNA", at positions 338 to 795 of the family's 1533-position model. The record is from RNAcentral.